Molecule: ribosomal RNA, 492 nt
Filed under: uncultured bacterium
Lineage: Bacteria
Description: partial 16S ribosomal RNA
Rfam family: Bacterial small subunit ribosomal RNA
Source: RNAcentral
AGUGAACGCUGGCGGUAGGCCUAACACAUGCAAGUCGAACGGCAGCACAGUAAGAGCUUGCUCUUACGGGUGGCGAGUGGCGGACGGGUGAGGAAUACAUCGGAAUCUACUUUUUCGUGGGGGAUAACGUAGGGAAACUUACGCUAAUACCGCAUACGACCUACGGGUGAAAGCAGGGGAUCUUCGGACCUUGCGCGAUUGAAUGAGCCGAUGUCGGAUUAGCUAGUUGGCGGGGUAAAGGCCCACCAAGGCGACGAUCCGUAGCUGGUCUGAGAGGAUGAUUCGCCACACUGGAAGUGAGACACGGUACAGACUCCUACGGGAGGACGCAGUGGGGAAUAUUGGACAAUGGGCGAAAGCCUGAUCCAGCCAUACCGCGUGGGUGAAGAAGGCCUUCGGGUUGUAAAGCCCUUUUGUUGGGAAAGAAAAGCAGCAGGUUAAUACCCCGCUGUUCUGACGGUACCCAAAGAAUAAGCACCGGCUAACUUCGUG